RNAcentral lists this ribosomal RNA (253 nucleotides) under uncultured bacterium. Its description in RNAcentral is "partial 16S ribosomal RNA". It matches the Rfam family "Bacterial small subunit ribosomal RNA", at positions 524 to 776 of the family's 1533-position model. The record is from RNAcentral.
UACGUAGGGGGCUAGCGUUGUCCGGAAUCAUUGGGCGUAAAGCGCGCGUAGGCGGCCCGGUAAGUCCGCUGUAAAAGUCAAAGGCUCAACCUUUGAAUGUCAGUGGAUACUGCCGGGCUAGAGUCCGGAAGAGGCGAAUGGAAUUCCUGGUGUAGCGGUGAAAUGCGCAGAUAUCAGGAAGAACACCCGUGGCUAAGGCGGUUCUCUAGUACGGUACUGACGCUGAGACGCGAAAGCGUGGGGAGCGAACAGG